GCCUUUUGCCACAGCAUCUUGUGAGAAAAGCAGAGAAGAGCAGAGAAAAGCUGUUUUGGAUUUUUAGAAGACAAAAGGAGUUUUGGACAGUUUUGACGCCUGGUUGAUUAUUGAAGCCUGGGGUGAUUUCAGACAGGAUUUGGGUAUCUUGUCCCUUCAGUGCCAAGUUCAUUCUUAUUUUACCCAUACCACAGGAGGUGGAACUAUGGCUUAGAGAUGAGAGCCCUGCAGAACAACCCCAGGGAAAUGCAGUGCUGUUGGAAGGAGGGGUUGCUGCAGAAAUGAUUGUAACAGCAGCGGGAUUAAUUAAGGGCUGCAGAAGAUGAAAGGUGUUGGGGAAAGAACUGAAGAUUUCAAUGGUUGGUGGCCAUGUAUCAUCUGGAUACCAGGUCUACUUGUAGAUGGGCUGCACAUCUAUUCACUGAAAUAAGGAGAGAAGGAUGGGUUUUUCAUCAGCGUCCGUUUUCCAUCUAAACUUACCAGCGAGUCAACAGAUUGCUGUCCAACAUGAGUGUUAACUUCCAAGGCGAGUCCAGACGGCAAGAAGCAACACUUGAUAUAUGCUAGUCUUCAAAGCAGCAGAAAUUUUCCCCAACCCGAAAAAGUGAAGAGGGACUCCACCUUACCCGGGGCGCCUUCUUGCAAGCUAGCAGCAAAACUCCGGCUUGAUCCUCCUUUGCUGGCUGAUCGGUCUACAUCCAUGGAGUAGAGCUGUGUUGCAUAGUCAGUAGCUACCAGACAAAAAGGCUGUCCAAAGGUCUAGAGUGGGUGGGUGGGGUUUAGAGGACCUCUCUGCUUUGUCUGAGCCUCUUUGGUGCAAGAGCAGGAUCCACAGGAGGGCAAUGGAUAGAAGCAAUGGGCAGCAUGGAAAGGAGAGCCACAGGAGAAGAAGCAGCCCUGUUGCGGAAGUGGCAACCUGCUGGCUUCCCCUGGUGGCCAGUUCCCUUGGCCCUGAGUGAGACAACCAAAUUAGUGAUAGCCUGGUCACAAGUCAAGGCCUCUAGUAUCUAAGCAUAAGGAAGGCAAAGGAAUGUCAGGCUUCGGGGAAUCACAUCCCUCCCCCGGUGGCAGUAAAUAAGCAGGUCAAAUGAAAGGAGCGUUCUUACCAGUUAG
Podarcis muralis (Common wall lizard) is the source of this 1113-nucleotide long non-coding RNA. RefSeq lists it as uncharacterized. The record is from RefSeq and is a predicted model, not a curated record. Lineage: Eukaryota; Metazoa; Chordata; Lepidosauria; Squamata; Lacertidae.